CAAUAGCGUAUAUUUAAGUUGUUGCAGUUAAAAAGCUCGUAGUUGGAUUUCGGAUGGGAUUUGCCGGUCCGUCGUUACGAUGUGCACUGACCAGUCCUAUCUUGUUUUCGGGGACUAGCUCCUUGGAUUCACUUCCUGGGACUAGGAGCUGACGAGGUUACUUUGAGUAAAUUAGAGUGUUCAAAGCAAGCCUACGCUCUGAAUACAUUAGCAUGGAAUAACACGAUAGGACUCUGGCUUAUCUUGUUGGUCUGUGAGACCAGAGUAAUGAUUAAGAGGGACAGUCGGGGACAUUCGUAUUUCAUUGUCAGAGGUGAAAUUCUUGGAUUUAUGAAAGACGAACUUCUGCGAAAGCAUUUGUCAAGGAUGUUUUCAUUAA
This 379-nucleotide ribosomal RNA is filed under the name uncultured eukaryote. RNAcentral describes it as "partial 18S ribosomal RNA". It matches the Rfam family "Eukaryotic small subunit ribosomal RNA", at positions 592 to 976 of the family's 1831-position model. The record is from RNAcentral.